This 105-nucleotide unclassified non-coding RNA is filed under the name soil metagenome. Its description in RNAcentral is "partial internal transcribed spacer 1". The record is from RNAcentral.
GUGAACGCCCUCACGGGCUUAUACUAUUCCAAACCUCUGUGAACCGUGCCCUUCGGGGCUAUUUUACAAACAUGGUGUAAUGAACGUCAUAUAUCAUAACAAACA